AGAAAUCGUGGUCUCUAACAUAGGCCAUGGAUGACGGUACCGGACUAAGAAGCACCGGCUAACUACGUGCCAGCAGCCGCGGUAAUACGUAGGGUGCGAGCGUUAAUCGGAAUUACUGGGCGUAAAGCGUGCGCAGGCGGUUUUGUAAGACAGAUGUGAAAUCCCCGGGCUUAACCUGGGAACUGCGUUUGUGACUGCAAGGCUAGAGUACGGCAGAGGGGGUGGAAUUCCUGGUGUAGCAGUGAAAUGCGUAGAGAUCAGGAGGAACACCGAUGGCGAAGGCAGCCCCCUGGGCCUGUACUGACGCUCAUGCACGAAAGCGUGGGGAGCAAACAGGAUUAGAUACCCGGGUAGUCCACGCCCUAAACGAUGUCGACUAGUCGUUCGGAGCAGCAAUGCACUGAGUGACGCAGCUAACGCGUGAAGUCGACCGCCUGGGGAGUACGGCCGCAAGGUUAAAACUCAAAGGAAUUGACGGGGACCCGCACAAGCGGUG
Molecule: ribosomal RNA, 496 nt
Filed under: uncultured bacterium
Lineage: Bacteria
Description: bacterial SSU rRNA
Rfam family: Bacterial small subunit ribosomal RNA
Source: RNAcentral